This 281-nucleotide small nuclear RNA is filed under the name Octodon degus (degu). Its description in RNAcentral is "7SK RNA (ENSODEG00000024694.1)". It matches the Rfam family "7SK RNA". Rfam says of the family: 7SK was discovered as an abundant small nuclear RNA in the mid-70s but a possible function has only recently been suggested. Two independent studies have found that 7SK RNA binds the CDK9/cyclin T complex (known as elongation factor P-TEFb). Lineage: Eukaryota; Metazoa; Chordata; Mammalia; Rodentia; Octodontidae. The record is from RNAcentral.
GGGUGUGAGGGCAAUCUGGCUGCAGCAUCUCACCCCACUGAUGGCCAGGGUUGGUCUGGCUGGCUGGCUGGUGUCUGCUUCCUCCCUCAGUACUUCAUGUGCGCCCCUCCAGAAGCUGCACAUUUGGUCACAGAGGACACCUACCCCAAUAGAAGAGCGCCAACCCUCCAUCAGAGGUAUAGAGCAGCUGCUCUCCUUGCUAGAACCUGCGCAGACUAAAUGCCUAAUGAUGGAAAACAGUCUAUGAAAAGGGCUGAGGUGGCCAUUUGAUCCCUUCAUGG